This 648-nucleotide ribosomal RNA is filed under the name Acinetobacter rhizosphaerae. RNAcentral's name for it is "bacterial SSU rRNA". It matches the Rfam family "Bacterial small subunit ribosomal RNA", at positions 30 to 672 of the family's 1533-position model. Lineage: Bacteria; Pseudomonadati; Pseudomonadota; Gammaproteobacteria; Moraxellales; Moraxellaceae. The record is from RNAcentral.
UGAACGCUGGCGGCAGGCUUAACACAUGCAAGUCGAGCGGAGUGAUGGUGCUUGCACUAUCACUUAGCGGCGGACGGGUGAGUAAUGCUUAGGAAUCUGCCUAUUAGUGGGGGACAACAUUUCGAAAGGAAUGCUAAUACCGCAUACGUCCUACGGGAGAAAGCAGGGGAUCUUCGGACCUUGCGCUAAUAGAUGAGCCUAAGUCGGAUUAGCUAGUUGGUGGGGUAAAGGCCUACCAAGGCGACGAUCUGUAGCGGGUCUGAGAGGAUGAUCCGCCACACUGGGACUGAGACACGGCCCAGACUCCUACGGGAGGCAGCAGUGGGGAAUAUUGGACAAUGGGCGCAAGCCUGAUCCAGCCAUGCCGCGUGUGUGAAGAAGGCCUUAUGGUUGUAAAGCACUUUAAGCGAGGAGGAGGCUACUGAAGUUAAUACCUUCAGAUAGUGGACGUUACUCGCAGAAUAAGCACCGGCUAACUCUGUGCCAGCAGCCGCGGUAAUACAGAGGGUGCAAGCGUUAAUCGGAUUUACUGGGCGUAAAGCGCGCGUAGGCGGCUAAUUAAGUCAAAUGUGAAAUCCCCGAGCUUAACUUGGGAAUUGCAUUCGAUACUGGUUAGCUAGAGUGUGGGAGAGGAUGGUAGAAUUCCAG